This 990-nucleotide ribosomal RNA is filed under the name uncultured Corynebacterium sp. RNAcentral describes it as "bacterial SSU rRNA". It matches the Rfam family "Bacterial small subunit ribosomal RNA", at positions 505 to 1498 of the family's 1533-position model. The record is from RNAcentral. Lineage: Bacteria; Bacillati; Actinomycetota; Actinomycetes; Mycobacteriales; Corynebacteriaceae.
GUGCCAGCAGCCGCGGUAAUACGUAGGGUGCGAGCGUUGUCCGGAAUUACUGGGCGUAAAGGGCUCGUAGGUGGUUUGUCGCGUCGUCUGUGAAAUUCCGGGGCUUAACUCCGGGCGUGCAGGCGAUACGGGCAUAACUUGAGUACUGUAGGGGUAACUGGAAUUCCUGGUGUAGCGGUGAAAUGCGCAGAUAUCAGGAGGAACACCGAUGGCGAAGGCAGGUCUCUGGGCAGUAACUGACGCUGAGGAGCGAAAGCAUGGGUAGCGAACAGGAUUAGAUACCCUGGUAGUCCAUGCCGUAAACGGUGGGCGCUAGGUGUGAGUCCCUUCCACGGGGUUCGUGCCGUAGCUAACGCAUUAAGCGCCCCGCCUGGGGAGUACGGCCGCAAGGCUAAAACUCAAAGGAAUUGACGGGGGCCCGCACAAGCGGCGGAGCAUGUGGAUUAAUUCGAUGCAACGCGAAGAACCUUACCUGGGCUUGACAUACACCAGAUCGCCGUAGAGAUACGGUUUCCCUUUGUGGUUGGUGUACAGGUGGUGCAUGGUUGUCGUCAGCUCGUGUCGUGAGAUGUUGGGUUAAGUCCCGCAACGAGCGCAACCCUUGUCUUAUGUUGCCAGCAAUUUGGUUGGGGACUCGUGAGAGACUGCCGGGGUUAACUCGGAGGAAGGUGGGGAUGACGUCAAAUCAUCAUGCCCCUUAUGUCCAGGGCUUCACACAUGCUACAAUGGUCGGUACAACGCGCAGCGACACUGUGAGGUGGAGCGAAUCGCUGAAAGCCGGUCGUAGUUCGGAUUGGGGUCUGCAACUCGACCCCAUGAAGUCGGAGUCGCUAGUAAUCGCAGAUCAGCAACGCUGCGGUGAAUACGUUCCCGGGCCUUGUACACACCGCCCGUCACGUCAUGAAAGUUGGUAACACCCGAAGCCAGUGGCCUGUUAAAGGGAGCUGUCGAAGGUGGGAUCGGCGAUUGGGACGAAGUCGUAACAAGGUA